GACCUGCACCAAGGCCGCCAGCGCGAAGAAGGCGGCCAUGAGUCCGUUGCAGGCCCGCCACAGCGCUGGCGCCAUGGCUCGGAGAACACGGCGCGGGGCGGUGAGUCCUGCCACGUGCGGGGCGGUGUGGUCAGCUACUCCGGAAUGUGGCAGGGGUGGAGGCCGGACAAAGUCUGAAACAGGGUCAUCACCAUAGCACCUGACAUACCUGGAUAUAAACAAUAUCCAAGGCCCCUAAGGUAAAAGCCUUGCUCCAAGUCCCCUUCUGACUUCUAGUCACUUCCGUGCUGCCAGCAGAGGGCGUGGGAUUCUUCCUGAGGAGCCUGAGUCUCAGCUUUGCCAGGUCCUUGCUGUGUGACCUUGGGCACCUGUGCUCCCUUGACAAAGAGGAAUAAAACCUCUUCAGACUACUCUCCUAUCGAUUCUCUCCUGGAACAUAUGACCACCAUCAAUUAUAGGCAAGAACAUGAACACGGGAGUCCCAAAGACUUGGGUUCAAAUGUCAGCCCCUUCACUCGCUGGCUGUAGGUGUGAGGCCCUGGGUAAGGUCCUUACCUCCC
RNAcentral lists this long non-coding RNA (560 nucleotides) under Homo sapiens (human). Its description in RNAcentral is "HSALNT0237152". The record is from RNAcentral. Lineage: Eukaryota; Metazoa; Chordata; Mammalia; Primates; Hominidae.